GCACAUGUGGCGGAAUGGUAGACGCGCUGGCUUCAGGUGCCAGUGGCCUUCACGGCCGUGGGGGUUCAACUCCCCCCAUGUGCA
RNAcentral lists this transfer RNA (84 nucleotides) under Aeriscardovia sp. Its description in RNAcentral is "tRNA-Leu". It matches the Rfam family "tRNA". From Rfam's summary of the family: Transfer RNA (tRNA) molecules are approximately 80 nucleotides in length. Lineage: Bacteria; Bacillati; Actinomycetota; Actinomycetes; Bifidobacteriales; Bifidobacteriaceae. The record is from RNAcentral.